This 495-nucleotide ribosomal RNA is filed under the name uncultured bacterium. Its description in RNAcentral is "partial 16S ribosomal RNA". It matches the Rfam family "Bacterial small subunit ribosomal RNA", at positions 28 to 505 of the family's 1533-position model. The record is from RNAcentral.
GAUGAACGCUGGCGGCGUGCCUAAUACAUGCAAGUCGAGCGAACAGACGAGGAGCUUGCUCCUCUGACGUUAGCGGCGGACGGGUGAGUAACACGUGGAUAACCUACCUAUAAGACUGGGAUAACUUCGGGAAACCGGAGCUAAUACCGGAUAAUAUAUUGAACCGCAUGGUUCAAUAGUGAAAGACGGUUUUGCUUUCACUUAUAGAUGGAUCCGCGCCGCAUUAGCUAGUUGGUAAGGUAACGGCUUACCAAGGCAACGAUGCGUAGCCGACCUGAGAGGGUGAUGGGCAACCGUGGAACGGAGACACGGGCCAGACCCCUACGGGGGGCAGCAGUGGGGAAUUUCCCGAAGGGGGGGAAAGCCUGACGGGGCACCGCCGCGUGGGUAAUGAAGGUUGUGGGACGGAAAAACUCUUUUAUUGGGGAAAAAAAAAUGUGUAAGAAACUAUGCCGGUUGGGAGGGUACCAAAAAAGAAACCCCCGGCAACCCCCG